CUUUCCUUCCAUUUCUCCCCUUUUCUCCCUCCCCUGCCACUCAUUUCCCUAGCUUUCUCUUUUGUGGACUUUCCCCUUUCUUUGUUUUCACUUUCUCUUUCAAUCCUUUCCAAAACAGAGUGGUUGUCUAACUGUCAUAGAGCAGCUUGCCCACAAUUGGUCAAACAACUGUUCCUCUGAAAUGGGGGAAACUGUUGAAGAUUUCGUGACUAGGACUCGCAUUGCCCUGAAGAAUUAUUGUCCAGUCUUCCAGGGAAAUCAGGCAAACAACAUGCAAGCACCAAAAAAGAAUAUGGAAGAAAGAAUUAAAAAAAUGACAUGCUCUGAAAUAGCUAGAAAUUUAUUAGAAAUUUGGAGAGAAUACUGGAGAGAAACAGAAAAGUCAGCUAGAAGAGGGAGGAAAAGGAAGAGAAGACAAAGUCUGAAUAAGUGAUAUAAAACUACUGAAAAGAACUUGCAAGGAGAAAAAAUGUAGCCACAUUUUUUGCUCAGAUUUUUAAAAUUCUUGGAACAAUAAGAAUGAUGAGGUCAUAUAUGCAUAUCA
This is a long non-coding RNA of Vombatus ursinus (common wombat), 544 nucleotides long. RefSeq lists it as uncharacterized. NCBI's taxonomy places the organism in Eukaryota, Metazoa, Chordata, Mammalia, Diprotodontia, Vombatidae. The record is from RefSeq and is a predicted model, not a curated record. The transcript is spliced from 3 exons.